Small nuclear RNA from Suricata suricatta (meerkat), 103 nucleotides. Lineage: Eukaryota; Metazoa; Chordata; Mammalia; Carnivora; Herpestidae. The record is from Ensembl.
GUUCUCUUCAGCAGCACAUAAACUAAUAGAAUCAAUACAGAGAAGAUUAGCAUGGCCCCUGAGCAAGAAUCACAUGCAAAUUCAUGCAGUGUGCCGUAUUGUU